This is a long non-coding RNA of Pseudopipra pipra, 3435 nucleotides long. RefSeq lists it as uncharacterized. The record is from RefSeq and is a predicted model, not a curated record. Lineage: Eukaryota; Metazoa; Chordata; Aves; Passeriformes; Pipridae. The transcript is spliced from 2 exons.
GCCGUGGUGGCGGGGCAGGCCGUGGUGGCAGGGCAGGCCGUGCUGGCGGGGCAGGCCGUGCCGGGGGUGCCCGGCCGGCAGCCAAGGCCGCCACCCCGGGCAGUGCCGGGCGGGAGGGCAGGGGAGGGCCCGGGCAGGCACAUCCUCCCCCAGCCCUGCCGGGCGGCUGAAUCAGCGGGGCGAUGGCUAUCGCUGCUGACACAGAGCCGCAGUAAAUCACCACCUCUCCGGAGCAACGAGGAAGUUGCAGGGGUGACUGAGUCAUCCUCCGUCCUGACGCCAUUCCCGGAGCGGAGCCACGUACAUCCCCCGGCUCUGGGCUGUGCCCGGGGCCCAAAAAUAGCCUUUAAGCCAAAUCCUGCAGUCAUCACUCAAAGCUGAAACGCUUUUAUUUACACUCAGCAAGAACCCACGUAUGUUUUUGACAAUGCUAAGAGUAACCACUGCUUAAAUUAUUUGCCUAGCAAAGGAGUUUAUUUAACUACAAGAAUUACACCAAGUAUGCAAUGUUUUCUGACCCACAUAGAAGGUAAUAAUUUGCAUUUUAUAGAACCACUUUGCAUAGACAACCCAUCUUAAUGGCCAACGACUUGCUGUACAAAAAUUAAUAAUUGAAAAGCAACCCGUCAGCACUGUUAUUUGUGUUACAGGCAUGAGUUCUCAGAAUGGCAAGCAAUUGCGAAGAAAGUAUGUGACAGCUACCCAGAGUGGGAGAGGCCAGGCAAAAAUCCUGUCAGAAAGAUGUCAGCCUGAUCCCCCUUUGGCUGAAGAAGUGACUUUGACUUCAUGAAUCCCCCCUCUCUCCAGCCAGUCACUUGACCGAGCUUCUCUCACGAAUUUCUGCCUUAAUGCCAGAUUAAUCCUACUUCAUCCAGUCCCCAGACAUCUAAGAAGCUCCAGCUCUUUUUCUCUCAAAUCAUUGGCUUUUAAACUAUUUCUGUUGCAGCACCCAAGCAUUCGCUGUGGAUGAAAAAAGGCUCAAAGACUAGCACAGAAGUGUAAUGGCAAACAAAAAUUACAUUGCAAAGCCUGGGAUUUUCACAGUCUUAGGGAAAUUAGGUCCCCUGAAUCCCAUGGCAACUUAGAGAAGAGUCGAGUGCAUAAUUUUCCAUUAUGCUUGUAAAAAAAUCCCCAAAUAAACAUACAACUAAAUGCAGCUUCACAAGGCUGAGCAUUUAUUAUUCUCCUAAAAUGCUGUUACUAAGCCUGAGGCCUCUUAUCCCAUGUUUUAACGUUUUAUUUUUUAGAAAACAGUCUCUCUCUUGCCAAAACAUCCAAGAGUGGUAGUUAUAGGAAAAUCCACCUCAGAGUGCUGUCUUGGGGAAGAGUAACAAACCAACCCCAUAUUCCGGGCUCACACCCACCCCGACCCGCCCGUUGGUGCCGCGUCGCUCCGGCCGCUCCGUCCCGCCGAAGGGCCCCGUCUGUGUUGGGGUGACAGUCCCUGCUCACUGCUGACGUCUUUGCUCGGGGCUGUGCCGCGCUCCCCCGUACACAGUCUGCUCCAGAACAUGCACACUUGGCUGUUGCCGUUUCAAAAGCCUGCCUGGCGUAUUUCUGCAGACUGAAUCAGGAGGAUUUUGGGGCAGCCAGGGGCUGGUUCAUCUCGCCGUGAACGCCUGUGGGUGUCAUUCACACAGCUCUUCCAAACAAAGCAUUUUCACUGUGAUAGCAAAGGCAAACUUCCCCAAACCCAAUCUGUUUGGUGGUUAAUUAGUAUCCUCUGCUGCAACCUUGGAGACAAAAGAAAGAAGCGCUCCCCUCCUCCCACGAGCAUCAGGACUUUUUAAUCUCAAAGAUACACCUUAUCUGGCGUGUCCAAAGCAGAACAGAUACAGCUCCCUCUUAUUAUUUUCUUAAAUGGAGCAAAACCAACAGAAAUUGUGUUAGGAGCUUGUUCAUUGGGAGGUUCUGAUUUUCAUUUCAGUAGUACUGGCUGAUAGACUCCCACACCUGAAAAUCAGGGAGUAAUUUAAAAAACAUAAAUUGUAAGAAAAAACAAUUAUAUCCAUUAGAACUUUGAGUGGUAAAAAUAAUAGAGACAGUAUUAGAAAAUUUUGAUUGGCUUUUCUUUCACCCACUAAUAAAACAAGUCCCUGGAGUACUCAUAGGAGUUUCUCCUCUCUGCAUUUCUGUGGCAGGCGAAGAGGAGAGGCAGCUCUGCUCCCCUGGAUUCAGUCCGGCUUAUUCAGCAGCUUCAGCUCUGCUGUUUCAGAUUCCUGCAAAAAUAAAGGCUCAGAAGAGAAAGCUGAGCCUCUGGGCAUCCACCAGACUGCAGCUACUGCGCGUCUGUAAGAGGCACAACGGUGCUGGAAGGAGAGGAGCAGUACCCUGUCCUUCAGCAUCACAUGGCUGGCCACGCUCAGCAGCCCAAACCACAGCUUUGAACAUCCCACUUCAGAGGACGCCCUGAUGCCCAGGGCGGCUUCCCAGGGAUGGAACGCUGGGCAAAUCCAUCGGCAGCAAAAGCCCAAACUCCUGCACAUUCUGUCAGUACAUUUACUGCACGUCAGCCGUGCUCCCUUCGAGAUGCAGCUGGGACGAGCAGGCCUGUAGACAAAAUUAAGCGGCAGGAUCCAAACCGGCUAUUGCCAGAUCAGAGAAACAUCUUAGUCAUCCCUCAAAGUUGAAGAUGAAAUGGGCUUACAGCCCAUUACCAGCCCUUAAAAAGACAACAUUUGUUUUGGUUUACAAGCCAAUUCUUCCCUCAGACUUUUCCACUGGAGAUGUGCAAAUAUCCAAUAUUCAGAGCUUUACUGAAUAGCAAUUUAAAAGGAAUUCUCCAAACACAAAGGCAAACUUCAACAAGCCUGCUUCCCCAGGAACAGCACACCAACAUCACAAACCUGCAAAGGGCACAGAAAAUGGUGCUGCCACCCUAAGAAAGGGAAUGAGAGCAAGCUGUUCCUCGUUCUGUCUUCCUGCAAAAACAAUCUCCCUGCCCAAUAUCCAGAACUGCACAGGCUCCACAAAUCUAAUUACCCACGACUCCAAAAUGCAGAGCUCUGUCUGCCAAACAUACAAAAACAUUAAAGUUGUUUUGCUUUUAUGAAUAAAAUCUCAGGAUGGGAUGAGAUAAAAAUCCUAAGGAGGAAAGUCUAAGAGGUAAGUCCCUCCCCCUCCCUGAAUAAAGAGCUGUCUUUGUGUGGAUAAACUGGGCAACCUGGAUAAACUUCUCCUUGUUUAUUAUAAAAGCACAAGUUCACCAAGGUCCUUUUAUGUCCUGAUGUAUGAAAUGAUUCCAGCUACGUAUCGUUUCACAGAGUCAAAGGGGUGAGGCUACGUAUGGUAUUUAUAGAUACGUUCAGGGCCAGAAUUUUGGUUAGCAACAACAUAGUUACGGUCUCAACACCUAACACAUGCUUUUGGGAAAAUGCCCACCUAUAUAUAUAGAUCCUGGAAUAUUUUCCCUAUUAAAUACAUAUUUCAAGUGAA